AUUGAACGCUGGCGGCAGGCCUAACACAUGCAAGUCGAGCGGAUGAAGGGAGCUUGCUCCUGGAUUCAGCGUCGGACGGGUGAGUAAUGCCUAGGAAUCUGCCUGGUAGUGGGGGAUAACGUCCGGAAACGGGCGCUAAUACCGCAUACGUCCUGAGGGAGAAAGUGGGGGAUCUUCGGACCUCACGCUAUCAGAUGAGCCUAGGUCGGAUUAGCUAGUUGGUGGGGUAAAGGCCUACCAAGGCGACGAUCCGUAACUGGUCUGAGAGGAUGAUCAGUCACACUGGAAGUGAGACACGGUCCAGACUACUACGGGAGGGAGCAGUGGGGAAUAUUGGACAAUGGGCGAGAGCCUGAUCCAGCCAUGCCGCGUGUGUGAAGAAGGUCUUCGGAUUGUAAAGCACUUUAAGUUGGGAGGAAGGGCAGUAAGUUGAUACCUUGCUGUUUUGACGUUACCAACAGAAUAAGCACCGGCUAACUUCGUG
RNAcentral lists this ribosomal RNA (484 nucleotides) under uncultured bacterium. Its description in RNAcentral is "partial 16S ribosomal RNA". It matches the Rfam family "Bacterial small subunit ribosomal RNA", at positions 30 to 507 of the family's 1533-position model. The record is from RNAcentral.